RNAcentral lists this ribosomal RNA (485 nucleotides) under uncultured bacterium. Its description in RNAcentral is "partial 16S ribosomal RNA". It matches the Rfam family "Bacterial small subunit ribosomal RNA", at positions 28 to 523 of the family's 1533-position model. The record is from RNAcentral.
GGCGAACGCUGGCGGCGUGCCUAACACAUGCAAGUCGAGCGGGAGCCAUCUGGUUGCAACACCGGGGAAGAUCUAGCGGCGAACGGGUGAGUAACACGUGAGAGACCUGCCCCGAACUUCGGGAUAACACGGGCAAAUCCGUGCUAAUACGGAAUACCCUCUACCGGUCGCAUGGUCGGAAGCGGAAAGUUUCAUCGGUUCGGGAGGGUCUCGUGGCCUAUCAGCUAGUUGGCGGGGUAACGGCCCACCAAGGCAUCGACGGGUAGCUGGUCGGAGCGGACGAUCAGCCACACUGGGACUGAGACACGCCCCAGACUCCUACGGGAGGCAGCAGUGGGGAAUCUUGCGCAAUGGGCGAAAGCCUGCCGCAGCAACGCCGCGUGCGGGAUGAAGGCCUUCGGGUUGUAAACCGCUUUCAGCAGGGAAGAAAAUGACGGUACCUGCAGAAGAAGCCCCGGCCAACUACGUGCCAGCAGCCGCCGUAA